Non-coding RNA from Microtus ochrogaster (prairie vole), 1311 nucleotides. NCBI's taxonomy places the organism in Eukaryota, Metazoa, Chordata, Mammalia, Rodentia, Cricetidae. The record is from the annotation of a RefSeq genome assembly.
AUGGCGUUCUUGAAACAUGGCAAUUCUCCCAAGGACCCUCAAGUGUUCCUCCUCAUCUCAGAGUGUGAAUUCUCAAAGAAAAACCAGUCGGUGAGCCUGGCCUGCUUGGUAAUUGGAAACCAUCCACUGGAAGUCAGCUGGAACUCAACCGCGAAGUACCAGACUAAGAGGACCUUCCCCCUCGAAAAGAAGGAUAAGGAUUACAUGAUGAGUAGCCAGCUCUCUUUGUGGACCUCAGAACUCAACAGCACCCACACUUGCCGCAUAAAAAACAACUCCAAACUUGCUAUUGAAAAGACUUUCCAAUUGCCUAGAAAAUUGAAUGCUCAAUCCUCGCAGAAAACUACUUUACCUCCCCCAGUGGAAGUCACCAAAGCUACUAACACCCGAAGGGACCCAGUGGAGACUAUGGCACCCAGUUACCCCUCUGUGAACUUUCUGGCCACAUCCACCUAUCCUGAGAUGUCAUCGUGGCUCAUGUGUGAGGUUUCCGGCUUCUUCCCCCAAGACAUCAAUCUAAUAUGGCUGAGGUUCCAGAGUAAAAUAAACACUUCGUACUUUGCCACUGCCCAACCCACCCGAGAGCCUGGGGGCAACACGUUCCAGACCUGGAGUGUCUUGAGAAUACCAGUCACUCUAAACUCUUCACUUGACACCUACACAUGCGUGGUGGAACAUGUGGCCUCACAGACCAAGCUCAAUGCCAGCAAAAGGCUGGACAUAAGUGGCAUGGCCAACACCUUCCCCGACUUGUGCAUCAGGGAUGAGCAAACCGACAGCUACCUGGACAUAGAUGAGGAGAACAGCCUGUGGCCCACAAUGUGCACCUUCGUGGCUCUCUUCCUGCUCACACUGCUCUACAGUGGCUUUGUCACUUUCAUCAAGGUGAAAUAGACCAGGACAGCAGCAUCCUGCAACUAAAGAAAUAAAGUGCUUUCCCUCAACAUGAAGCCCACAAAGAGGAUGUCUUCUAUGCAGAGAAGCUCCAGGCUAUCCUCCCAACCCCCUGCUCUCCACCCAGCCUCUCAGACACAAAAUGACUGGCAUCCUUGGCUAUAGGCAAAGCAGGGGACAUGCUGCCCAAGUCCUACUCCCGCUAUCCUCUCCCUCCUGCCAAGCCCCCAUCCUCACAUAAACAUGCAUGGUGCACUCCACCUGCCUCCUGCUUUUUCGUUUCCAUGGUCUGGAUAAACUCAGGUCACAGCACAUAAGAUCUGAGGCAAACAAUGGAGGGAAAGGUCACUCAGGAGGGGUGUCAAGGACACACUGAGGAAAACUGUUUAGUGAAUUUAGGCAUUCCCCUCCCACCCU